CGCCUCCAGUAACUUGGAGGCAUGCCUGUCUGAGCGUCAUUUAAAACCAUAGACCCGAAAGGUUUGUAUUGGGCAUCGCGUCCGGCGUAGCUCAAAGACAUUGGUCUUACAUGCGGACGAGCUCCUUUAGGACAGACCGUGUCGAGACUUUAAACAUCUGACUUGACCUCAGAUCAGGUAGGACCACCGCCUGAACUUAA
This 200-nucleotide unclassified non-coding RNA is filed under the name soil metagenome. RNAcentral's name for it is "partial contains 5.8S ribosomal RNA, internal transcribed spacer 2, and large subunit ribosomal RNA". The record is from RNAcentral.